GUAGGGAAUAUUGCGCAAUGGACGAAAGUCUGACGCAGCGACGCCGCGUGAGUGAUGAAGGCCUUAGGGUCGUAAAGCUCUGUUGAAUGGGAAGAAAAAAAUGACGGUACCAUUCGAGGAAGGACCGGCUAACUUCGUGCCAGCAGCCGCGGUAAUACGAGGGGUCCUAGCGUUGUUCGGAAUCAUUGGGCGUAAAGGGUGUGUAGGUGGCCAUGUAAGUCAGGUGUGAAAGCCCCGGGCUCAACCCGGGAAGUGCACUUGAUACUGCGUGGCUUGAGUACCGAAGAGGGUAGUGGAAUUCCAGGUGUAGUGGUGAAAUACGUAGAUAUCUGGAGGAUCACCGGUGGCGAAGGCGGCUACCUGGUCGAGUACUGACACUGAGACACGAAAGCAUGGGGAUCAAACAGGAUUAGAUACCCUGGUAGUCC
Molecule: ribosomal RNA, 428 nt
Filed under: uncultured bacterium
Lineage: Bacteria
Description: partial 16S ribosomal RNA
Rfam family: Bacterial small subunit ribosomal RNA
Source: RNAcentral